GUUGGGCUCCUGGGCCAAUGGGGGACCCCGGGAGGACUCCGCACCCACCUCUCCCCAGCACCAGGCUCGCCUCUUUAGCUCUUAUAAGGUAAAAGGCAGAGAACCCUCUGUGGCCAGGGAGCCGCGGGCAAGGGGCUAAGGGGAGGGGGUCCAGUGCCAGUCGCUUAAAAAUGCCCCUGUGGCAGUGAGGGGUGCCAGAGGCUGGGUCAAGUUAGUCGUGAAGCAGUGAUACCCCCAACCAUUCCCCACACAGGCUGGCCCCCCAUCGCCAGGCGCAAGAAGCCACACCUGGACCAGACUCCAGGCGAGGCUGAGCAAUGAAACCAAAGAAAGGAGAACUGAUCAGGAGCUGAGAGUCUCUGCCUCCCCACAUUCCUGAUGAAAGACCCAUGCAAGCCUGUGUGAUGUGAUGAGUGAGCAGCUUGCAGAAGAUGGAGGGAACGGUAGCAAUCUUCCCUAGAAAGAGUGAAGAGAGCCAGACCCGGAGACAGGAGGCCCUGGGACAAAUCACAGCCUCUCUGAGCCUGCUGGUAACCAAUGGGCUCCUGGGGCUUUGGAGGGGCUCCCAAAGUUGGGCUGUGUCCUAGGUGUGCUGCAAAGCUCAAGAAAGAGCAGCAGUUGUUUUUGCCGCCCAUGCUUCUCACGCUUGCCAAUUAUUAGAGGCGCCUUCACGCUCCUGGUAGAGGGCAGGAUGAGGUGUCAGCCCCAUUAAGAGAGCUGGGGAAACUGAGGCCUGGGAAGUGAAGGAACUCACUCAGUCACUGGGACAGGCAGCAGCAGAGGGGCAUUCUGGCACCAGGUCUCACAUGGCUGGAAAAAAGGAAGAAAGGUUUGGAGGUGAGUGGAGGGUGGGUGGAGGAGCAGACUCCAGCAAGGAGGAUGCUCCGAGGAGGUGGGACAAGCCCCAGGCCUGCUUUACAUAACACGGCCCACCUGUUCACCCCUGCACACCCCACACAUGUGUGCAAACGUGCACAGACCUGGUCCUUACUCACCAGCUAAUGAGCCACAGAGACUGGAUCUAAACAAAUUGGAUUAGAAGGGCUGCAGGCGCCUCCUCCCUCGCCUGUCCGGCUCCGACACUGAGCAGGCCUGCAGAGCCGCCAGCUGCAGAAUCUCGGCCACACUGACAAUCUUCCUGGGCCCCAGGCCCCAGCCCUGAGCCCCAGGAAGGAGACUGGGGCCUGAGAGGAUGCCACAGUGAUGGAUGGAGUGAGGGAGGCUCCGGGCCUCCUCCAGGGCACACAGGAUGUUAGUGCUUGUGUGAGGCCACUACCGAGUGUUCCCAGCCCACCCCACUGCCCCACUCCUCCCCCUUCCUCCAGCCUCUCCUGCAGUCACCACUGCCUGUCUGGGACUUGGGCCCAGACUGGUAUACCCAUCCCUGGCUCCACAGUCUCACGGCUGGGCUGAGCCGGAAGUGGGCAGAUCAGGAGACAUCAGCCUAGGGACAGCACCAAUUGGCACUUCAGAGGAAAGAAACUGGGCAAAAAGGUGAGGCCACCUGGGGGCAGCAUCUCAGUGCUUUCACAUGCAUCUUUGGGCUUAACCCUCAGAAGGUGCCUGGGAGGAGGAGACCGUGCCCAUGGAACCAACGUGACCUCUGGGGUUUCUUCAUCACAACACCCUUUCCUGAGCCCUGAGCCUGUGCCAGGCCAGUUGAUGAGCUGAGGACAGCGAUGAAAGACCCAUUGCCCUUGCUCCUGUGGUUCAUAGGGGUCAGUCUCUGGGGACUGGGGCUUGGGCCCUGGGGCUUCCCUGGCUUUUGCAGGAGUGGCCCCAGCAAAAUCUCUUCUCCACAGGGAUUGGAUAUUUCCAUCCAGAGGAGCUGUAGCAAGAACCCAACCCGACCCUGACGUCAGACAGCCCCCAGUACCCAUCCUGCCCCACUCCCUUUCCAGCUGGAUCACUGUGGUCAAAUGACAGCAUCUUCACGCCUAUUUCCCCUUCUCCCAAACAGGGCUGCGAAAGCUCCCGCUUCAUAGGGCCAACAGGAUUGAUCAUCAUUGUCCAUACUCUCAUCGGACAGAGGGAAAAAUGAAAGCCCAGAGAAGAAAGGGGCUCAGACAGGGUCACAGCAGGAGUUGGGAGUUAAGUCAGAAGCAGAGCUUCCAGACAGAAGACAGAGGAUCCUGGGCUGGCUGGCGACAUUUCCUGAAGACUUGGGGCAAGGGAGGGGGAAAUGGCAGUCCCCUGGGGUCAGCCUUCCAGGCUGCCAGAAAGCCCUCCCUGAACCUCCAGGUAAAAGGUCCACCCGGCUCAGCCUCAUCCUUUCAUAGAAGGGGAAACAGAGAAAAGUGAAGAAAUAGUGGUGCCAACUGGCAACAGAACCUGGGACUCCAACCGACCACCUGUCUCAUCUUCUGACUGGGGACCCAGAGCACGAAAGAGCCUCCGUGGGGUAAGUGAGACAGGAGCUCUGUGGACCCCCUGCUCAGGGAGGCCCUCACUGGAAGGAGGCAGGGGUUGGGACAAGUGCCAUCGGCCAUCCAAGCAAGUAUGCAUGACCCAAAGGAAGCGUUCCAGGGGCUGAAGAGCCAGGAACAGUCCGCCCUCCACAUCUCUCCUUCCACCCCACCAACUGUGCACUUCCUCCUCCAAGGAGCCUUCCCAGCUCCCCCAGGGACAGGACCUCUUUGUCUUCCAAGCCUUUGUCAGUCCUUUCAUGAGCUCUCCUUGUCCUACUUGGCUCUGUGUCUAUCCCCAUUCCCUGCUCAGAGCAGUUUCUGGUUUUGGUUUGGUUUGGUUUGGUUGGUUGGCUUGUUGGUUGGUUGGUAUUAUGGAUCAAACCCAGGGCUUCCACACUGAGCUAUAUCUGCAGCUCUUUUUUAUUUUUAUUCUGAGACAGGGUCUUGCUAAUUUGCUAAGUUGCCCAGGCUGGGUUCAAACUUUCUAUCCUCCUCCCCCAAUCUCCCAGAGUGCGAGGAUUACAGGUGUGGGACAGGGCAUUUUGCUUCUACCUCAGCCUGACUACCAGGCUCAGCCCCAUCUCCCUGGGCACAGAAGAGGCACUUGGUUUGCUCAAUGACCAGGUGUAAUGAUAAGACCCUGUCCUAAACCCAAAGGACUGGGGAACUGGUCCGGGAGGAGAGACCCAGUGUGGAGGUUGAUGGAGGGGGUGUGGAAUUGUUUACUCUGAGCUAAGAAACCCAGCACAGCUCCUUGCUCUGUGGCCUCAGAAAACACCCCUGCAGUGGAGCCUUAAGGACGCACAGGGAUUGACACAAGAAACCAUUCGAGAAGUGGCCAUUUUGGUUCUAGUCAUCACCUGUGUGAUUGCUCUGGUACUGAGGAGCAGAACUAGGCAGCUCAGACCGCAGCCAUAGAGGAAUUACAGCUUCUGUCCAGUGUCACUUUCUCCUGGAGAAGCAUGGCCACCUCUGCUGCCCUGUUCCCACGGCAGAGUCAGCUGUCUGCUGUCUGUGCGCCCUUCACCCUCGAGGUGAGGUAGAAACGUCCUGAGCUCGCCUUGGAGGUGAUCACUGUCCUGCCUCACCUGCUAUUGGAUUCAGAUGCGAUGGGAUGGGGCAUUGUUUCCCAAACCCACCCCUUCAGACGCCUCCUUUUUUAUUUGUGCACACAAUCAUAGUAUUUAAAAAUAUAAGAUGAGUCCUCCAAGUACUUAAAUAGAAACAGUUAUGAUAAAAUGAAAACUAUAGCACAGUCCAAAGGUAGAAAUAAAUACAGUGAAAAUGAAACAACGUGGUUAGGCUUUAACCUAACAUGUGGCUUGCAGGAUCCUGAGCAGUAAGAGGGGUCAGGAAGGUGUCAGCCCACGCAGCAUGGAAAGCGAAGUGACACAGAACACCAGAGCCACUCUGUCCUCAAGUGACUCAGUGCUGAGACCACCGGCUCCCACACCUCAGGGGUCAAGCCGAGCACCUCCUCUCCCGGGUGCUGGAGCCAGGGGAGCGGCAUGCACAGGUCGUCCACCUGGCCAAUCGAGUCCAGGGUUAGAACUGCUGCCAAGCCAGGGCCAGUUUGAAAGGUUUCUUUUUCUCUCCUCCCCUCCCUCCCCCUCCCCCUUCUUCUCCUCUUCUUCCUCCUCUUUCUUCUUUUUCUUUUCUUUUUUUUUUUGAAUGGUCCUGGGCAUUGAACCCAGGAUCUUCACACUAAGCUGCACCCUGGCCCUUUUUAAUUGAUUAAUUUUUUUUUUUGGUACCAGGGAAUCGAACUCAGGACCUUGUGCUUGGAAGGCAGGCGGUGGCACCACUGAGCUAAAUCCCCGGCCUGGCCCUUUUUUAUUUUGAGACAGUAUCUUGCCAAGUUGCCCAGGCUAGGCUCCAGUUUGCAGUCCUUUUGCCUCAGCCUCCCAGAGUGCUGAGAUAACAAGUGUGCAAGAGUUUUUGCAAGAGGAAGGGAGUUCUUUGGCUGAGAAUACCUCUGGCAGGCUGUCCCCUCAGCUGCCGGCAGACCUGCCCCAAGCAACAGACUAGAGGUAGACGUCCCACUCCUCCCGGAGACUGCAUUGAGCCUUAGGUCAGAUUCCUGAUGCAGGUAGGCAUGGGAGACAUUUUGUUUUUUUAAUGGAGGUGUUUUCUUUCUUCUUUCCCAGACCUGAGGAAAGGCUGCCCAUGCCCUUCAGACAUCCUUGAAAGUGUAGGUCACUGGCAUUGAGGCCACCACGGUCGCCAUCAGACAGAGCAGGAGGCUCCUCGGGCACCCUGAGAGCCUGGUGGGGCAGGAGUGGGGGAGGGGACGUUCCCACCCAAGCCAGGCCCAGAGAAGGAAGUGACUUGUCUACAUGGUCAUUCAACCUGCCAUACAUGGCGCCCCUGCAGUUACUCACCAUGGACAAAGCCAUCAGCCAGGUCUAGGGACCACAAGAUAUGGAGCUCUGUCCUCAGGGAACCGGAGAUCUCACCAGGUCCAAUCUAGGCCCAUGACUCUCAUUCUAGAGAGCCUGAGGCUGAGGGGUGAUCCACGCUGCCUGCUGUGAUUUAGGAGGUGAGGCCGGUUCACCACGUUCUUUCCCUCACGGUUGGGCCACCAGUCCACGACAAGUGAAGUUGCCUUUCAAGAGUGGUAAAGGGCCAGGGGCCAGGGAUUUAGCUCAGUGGUCCCGCCGCCUGCCUCGCAAGCUCAAGGUCCCAAGUUUGAUCCCUGGUACCAAAAAAAUAAAACCAAAAAGAGUGGUAAAGGGCCAGGUGCAGUGCCACACACCUGUAAUCCCAGCACUCUGGGAGGCUGAGGCAGAUGGCUUACAAGUUCGAGCCCAGCCUAGACAACUAGAGAUUUAGGAAGACUCUGUCUGAAAAGAAAAGAAAAGAAAAGAAAAGAAACAGAGAUGUGGGGGACCUGGGGAUGUAACUUUAAAAAGUACAGGAAUGGAGCAGUCACAGUAUGGGCAAGAUCACGGGAGCAGGGGGACGCGAGGUGGAAAGAAGCCAAAGGCUGUCCUCUCAACUGACACUGCACACAGGAAGAGGAGAGGCCGGGGAGCCAGGGGACUGUGUGAGCCUGGAGCAGCAAAUGGGGCAGCAGUGGCCUAAAAGAGAAGCCUGGGGGCAGAUGGGACAGAUGGGACAGAUGCAGAGGCCCUCCGAGCUGAGGGAGGGUUCAGAGUCAGCCUGGGGCAGAGGGAGCCCUUUGGGGUUAUAAAUCCAAAAAAGGGCCACGUUUGCAUUUGAGGUCUCUUGUUUCCAUUCCUCCCAGUGCGUCUGGAAGGGUGGGUGGGAAGAAGGGAGGAGUGGAGGAAGGGAGACAAGGUAGGGCAAGUGCUCCCUGGACACAAUGUCAAGUCCCAUGGUGCCAUUUGGCUGCUCCAAGCAGAAGGAUGGGGCCAUGGGGUCCACAAGCUAGGUCAGAACAGACAGAUCUCUAGAGACAGAAACUGGUCCACCUCAGGUUGGAGUUAGCUGAGGAGGGAGCGGUUAUGGGUGGGGUGAAGUAUUCUAAAAUUGUGGCAACAGCCGGGAAUUUAGCUCAGUGGUUCUGGUGCCCUGCCUUAAAAGCCCAAGGUCCCAAGUUCAAUCCCCGGUUCCAAAAAUAAAUAAAUAAAUAAAAUUGUGGCAACAGUUGCACAACUUUGUGAAUAUUAAAAACCAAUGAAGGAGCAGGGAGUGUAGCUUGGUGGUUAGAGAACAUGCUUAGUGUGCACUUGUGUGAGGGUCUGGGUUCAAACUCCAACACUGCAAAAAAACAGCAAACCAAAUUAUUUAAUUGUGCACUUUCCAUGGGUAGACUCCAUGGCAAUGAAAGAGAAAAGGCCAGCAGGGCUGGAGGUGCAGCUCAGUGGUUGAGCACUAGCUUAGCAUCACCAGCACUGCGAGGAGGGAGAAAGGAAGAUGGGGUUUGGUUCAGUGGGCUCCAGUGGCCUCCAAGGACAGGAAGCACAGCUGGGGCAGCAACAGAAGCCUCCAGGCAGGGCUGGGAGAGGCAGCCAGGAGGAGUCGCCUCGGCCCAGCCACCUCGCCAGCAGCGCGGCCCUGUCCCCCAGCCUGAGGUGCAGUGCUGCAUCUCUGGUCAGUUGGGAGUCUGAGAUGAAGCACUGUAGCUCGGGAAGGGAGAAGUUGUUCUGCAGCCUUGGCCUGGACAAGGUAAGUGGUGACAGUGGCGGGGGGGGGGGGGGGGGGAAGGAUGGAUGUCCCCAGACUCUGUGCCAUCAGCAGAGUCCUGGAUUCCAGACCCACCAGAGCCGCCCGAUGCCUCUGUGCCCGGGGUCCAUCCGUGACAUGAGGGGCUGCACAGUUCCGUGGUGGCCGUUAGGCCCUGCAUCCUGGACAGCUGCUGUUAAUGACCCAGAGCUGAGUGAAUUGCCCGUGGGCAGAUCGGACGACUCCUAAAGACUCUUAAGCAUGGGCUGGGGAUUUAGCUCAGUGGUUUCAGCGCCUGCCUCGCAAGCGCAAGGUCCCAAGUUCGAUCCCCAGUACCAAAAAAAAAAAAAGACUCUUAAGCUUGGGAGACAAAAGCCCUGGUUCUGAGUCAGGGCCUUCACUCUCUGAGCUCCUCAGCUUGGCUCUUUCAGUUGAGCAAUGGGCAGCGUGAGAGAACCACUGGGCCGAGCACAGUGCUGUUUAACCUCCCAGCACACAGUGAGGGAGGGGGCGGGGGGGCAGUGUGCUGCUGGCCCACUUUAUAGAGGAGAAAACCAAGGCUCAGUUAAGCAGCUCAACCAAGGUCACGUCUCGAUUGUGCUCAGCUGGUUGUACCCUAAUCUGUCUGCCUUCAGGCUACUGCUCUACCCACUGCUGGGAUCAUGGAAUCGGGGAUGGGGAACAGGAGAACAUAAGGAAUCCCACUCUGGUCUUUACACCUAGAGUUACUGUUCACAAAAGCAGACCCAGACACCUCCAUUAAUGGUAUGGGCUCACCCCACAUCCUAUCCUAUCAACUCAGCUGUUCCAUAGGACCUGUACCGUCUGUCCCAUUUACAGGCCAUGGUUCAGGGCUUGUGACUUGCUGGAGGUCAUCAGAGAAAGUUGCCAACUUGGGUGUGAUGGUACACGCCUGUAAUGCCAGCCCUCUACAAGGCAGAGGCAAGAGGAUUAAGAGUUCUAGCCCAGCCUGGGCCACUUAAUGAUUUAGCAAGACCAGGUAUCAAAAUAAAAAAUAAAAACAGGACUAAGACUGUAGCUCACUAUGAAGGCCUUGGGUUCAAUCCUUAGUACAAAAAAAAAAAAAAGAAAAGAAAAAUGUAGAUGUGCCCUAUUCACCCUCUGGCUAGCGACUGGGGUACACUUGAGCCAGGGUAGCUAAGGGGAUUGGGGGUGCAGCUGGGGACUGAGGUCCCAGAUGGUUUCUGAUCAACAAGCUCACCAGGCCGCCUUGGUGAUGGGAAGGUACUUUCCAGGGCACUCAAAUUCCAGUCACUGCUCUUCCCAGAGCAGGAAGCCGCAUCCUGUGAGUGGCGCCCCCGCCGGCCGCUCCCCUGGCUCACAGGGACAGGGCAGGCCUUGGUGCUGAAGGCCACUCUCCCACCUUGUCCUCACGGUCCAGUUUUCCCAGGAAUCCCUUGGAUGCUAAGAUGGGGAUUCCUGGAAAUACUGUUCUUGAGGUCACGGUUUAACAGCUGGACUCAUCUCUCGCCCACCCCAACUCUGCCCCUGAGGGAAGAGGGUCAAGUAGAAGGCCAAGCGCUGGAGGUAAGAGGGCCUGUGAACCAUGUUCUUGACCUUGAAGUUGUUUUUCUUCCCACUGUGUCCAUUUCGUAACAUCCCUGUGAGGCUGGAUGUGGGGAAUGCAGCACUGUCCAUGCUUGGGAAACUUGUCCCAAGCCAGCAGUGGCUGAAGCAGAAUAGAAUCCCCUCUCAGCUCCCCCUACACCACCACCCUCCCUGGAGGCUUUGUUAUAACGGGGCAUGGUAUCAUAUCCACAUGACUGAGAAACUGAUAUAUGCACAUGAAUUUAUUUUACAUGUUUAUUAAAUCAUUAAGCCAGGCAUGGUGGUGUAUGCCUGCAGUCCCAGGUACUCAACCCUGAGGCAGAAAGACCACAAGUUCAAGACCAGUCUGGAUUACAUAGCAAGGCCCUGUCUCAAAAAAAACAGGCAAAAAAAAGUUUAUUACAUCAGCUAGGUAAACUACAAACCAUAAAUCUUUGUUCAAUUUGGAAUAUAGCCACAGAAAAAUGGAAAAUUUGUCAUCAAGGUAGAGUAAACAAGACUCAGGACGCCCCCUUGUGGUACUUGUACCCACUGCAGGAACUGUGGCUGCUCCAUGUACACUCUAAAGUAGCUACAAGACUCAGGACUAAGAUUUACCCUGAGAUCCCUUUGCCUCAGUGGCCUGAGGAUGUCAUUAACAGCAACACCUUCUCUGUUGCUUACCCUCUUUUCCUUCCAAAACCUGGUGUCCUCCUCAAACCCAGCUAAUGUCAAUAGGGUUAAUGAGGUUCAGAGAAGUAAAGUGACCAACCAAGGUCACUCGGACAGCAAAAGGCAGAACUAGGACUGGUUUCAAGUUCAAUGGCCUUUGCCAAUCUCUUAGCCAAAAGAAAAACCUACGAAAAUCAAGAAUAAAGGCUGCCUAUGGGUAAUGCUAACUGACUGAAUGUCGGAGCCCUGAAGUGGUCCAGGUACAUAACUAGAACUUCCCCCAAAUUCUUCCUGGUGCUUUUUAUGGAGUUAGUGGAGGUGGUGACUGCCGUGGCCCCAGGGGCCUCAUUUGGGCUGUGAUCCCCCACAUUCCCAUGGACCAGGUGGCUUCCCAGGCUGUGUUCCUAACUGGCCACACUGAAGACAUUCAUGAGCUGAGACCCCAUGGCCUCUCUGUGCUCUGUGACUAAUAAAGUGCUGGACCUUUGCCUGGUGUCCUGUCUCUUCCUGGGAACGUGCGACAGGGGAGGUAGCGAGCGCAGAGACAGAAUCUCAUGAUGGCCCCAGCUGGGGUAACUCCCAAGUGCCUCCACAUGACGAGAUGCUUCCAGAAGCAGCAUAGACAGCGAUCAGGAGCCACAUCUGGGCAGAUGAAGGUCUCAGGAAGCUGCUGUGCCGCAUCUAGGAAGGCUUCCCCAAGGUGAGUUAGAGGGGUGAGGUAGCAGCUGAACAAGGAGCCCUCAGGGCCUCUCCACGCAGCUCCCUUCUCCUUCAGUCCCAGGUCAAAUAGGAAGCAGGGGUCUGAAGUGUUAGGUGAGUUCACACCUCACACAAGUGCCCGACUCCUGGUGGCCCCUGGAUAUCGGCCGUAACCACAUAACCACGGGGGAAGGGGCUGACACAAGGGUGCUUGGGACCCAGUCACCCCACUUCGGUAUGAGCCUCCAAACUGCCACAUAUUGAGAGCAAAAUCCUCUUCUGUGGUGACUCCCAGCUGCCUAGGGCCUCCCUACAGCUGUCCUUUGUGCCCAGAACGAGCUGUGGGUGGGAGCUGGGCACUGUGCUCAUCGCUGGGAAGCCCUCCAUGCCAGGCUGAGUGCCCCUCCUGCCACCACUGCACUGGCCCAGGCAGGCUGUUCCUCUUGGCCUUGAAACAGGACCCAGACAAACCCCAGGGCUUCUUGGUUCCCAGGCUUUAUCCAUGGGGCAGUUCCUUCUAGAACUCCUACUCCAUGUGGAACUUAGCCACCUGAGAUGACAUUUCCUGGCCUCUGUGGACCACUUACACACUGAGGUUUGAGAUUUGGGGGGGGGCCCUGCCAUAGAGGGGUGCACAGGAAUGACAGCAAAUAUCCUAAAGCAGCCACCUCCUUACUGACUUCAGUGUAAUGCAGCAAGCAUCGUCUGGUGCACACGCACGCCUCGUGUGGAUACAGCAGUGCACACGACCCCAGAGGAGCCUGCUGUGAAGACAGCUCUAGUGCACUGCACUGUACUUGGGGACCCAUGCUGACCAGGGCUGAACACAGCUCUAAGUAGGAAAGAUUUCAAUCUCAUGUCUCAAUGCCAUGCCCAGGCCUCCAUGCUGUGGAGGGAAGGAAUGAAAGCAGAUCCCCAGGCCCAGGCUCUGCCCGAUGGAGGAUCCACACGGCCGUUGACUCAGAAGGAGGCCUAGACCAGUCCCUUGGUGAGGAGUGGGUGAGGGACCAGGAUGCAGGCAGAAGGAAGAGGGUGCCCUCUUGUGGCCCACUGAGAAAUGACAGGCUUCUUUGGUUACAAAGACUUUUCAUUAUAUUUAUGUCAUCAGUGACCAUUACCUAAGACAUUUGCGUAGGAUUUUGCUUUUCAAAGCGUAUUUCCCCGGGCGGGGAUUUAGUUCAGUGGUUCCGCCGCCUGCCUCGCAAACGCAAGGUCCCUAGUUUGAUCCCCGGCACAAAAAAACAAAAUGUACUUCCCAUCCUGUGAUCUCACUUGAACCUUGGUUUGAGAAGCAUAUUUCAGAGUUUAAACAGUACUUGUUAUAAAAAUAAUCAUGACAGGGCCGGGGAUUUAGCUCAGUGGUUCUCCCACCUGCCUUGCAAGCACGAGGUCCUGAGUUUGAUCCCCAGUACCACAUAAAAUAAAAUUAAAUAAAAUUAAAAAAUAGUCAUGACAGCAAUAUCUCAAAUUUGUGGAGCCCUGACCUUGUAUCCAACAUUAUGACUUGGGGUGGGGGGUACUGGGGAUUGUACUCAGGGCCUUGCACCUGCUAGGCAAGUACUGUGCCAGUGAAUGACAUUCCUAGCCCCAGCACUGUGACUUGACUACCCAUAUGCUGUCAUUGUGAGGUGUAUGCUGCAGUCUAAUAGUUCAGAUGCAGAAUAAGUUGAAAGCAUUAGAAAUGUGCUCAGUCCCCUGACAGAUGAGCAGCUGCAUCCAGAAGCCCAGGGUGGCCCAGCUGCAGUGCUGCACCAAAACCACCAUUCUCACAGCAGCUCACUCCUCCAGCUCCUGGGAGGGCUGGUAGACUCCUCACCACCAGCACUGAUGCCAGAAGCCCAGCAGUCUGAAGAUGUCCUCGGAGCCACAGCCUGCUGGAGGCACCAUCUUCUGGUCCUCGGUGCCCAGAGGGGACCCUAGAGGGUUGGUUUUCUGCCUCAGGGACAAAGUCCUCCAGGCUCCCAAGAGCUGCCUCUCAGGAAGGACAGCAGGAAGUCACCCUGGAUUGCUGGGGGAGGGGGGCCCACAGGGCCAGACAAGGGAGCUGAAAUGGGACUCCGGUCCUGAAAGGAGGGCUUGAGGCAAACCCUGGGGAGCCAGGAGAAUGCAAGAGAACAGCCACAAGAAGGGACCCAGGCCUGUGCCUGCAUUUCAGGCCCAGACAACCUCUCUCCAUGGGAGGAAGACAAACUGCACUGCAGAAGCCAUCCCUGCAGGGAGGAGGUCAUCCUGACUUACCCUUUUCAUGGAAAUUGUGGUGACAGUGCUCUAAGUGGACUCACCCUGGGGACAAACAGAGG
Molecule: long non-coding RNA, 11755 nt
Filed under: Heterocephalus glaber (naked mole-rat)
Lineage: Eukaryota; Metazoa; Chordata; Mammalia; Rodentia; Bathyergidae
Description: lncRNA (ENSHGLG00000035482.1)
Rfam family: mir-145 microRNA precursor family (bases 7919-8004)
Source: RNAcentral